UUCUUCCUACGGGAGGCAGCAGUGAGGAAUAUUGGUCAAUGGGAGAGAUCCUGAACCAGCCAAGUCGCGUGAGGGAGGACGGCCCUACGGGUUGUAAACCUCUUUUGCCGGGGGACAAACGGCGGCACGCGUGCCGUCCCGAGGGUACCCGGAGAAAAAGCAUCGGCUAACUCCGUGCCAGCAGCCGCGGUAAUACGGAGGAUGCGAGCGUUAUCCGGAUUUAUUGGGUUUAAAGGGUGCGUAGGCGGGAUGCCAAGUCAGCGGCCAAAUACGGGGGCUCAACCUGC
This 287-nucleotide ribosomal RNA is filed under the name uncultured bacterium. RNAcentral's name for it is "partial 16S ribosomal RNA". It matches the Rfam family "Bacterial small subunit ribosomal RNA", at positions 333 to 617 of the family's 1533-position model. The record is from RNAcentral.